GUCAAGAAUCUUCCCCAAUGGCCGAAAGGCUGAGGGAGCGACGCCGCGUGUGGGAAGAAGCCCUUCGGGGUGUAAACCACUUUUCUCAGGGAAAAACUAAUGAUGGUACCUGAGGAAUAAGGGGCUGCUAACUUCGUGCCAGCAGCAGCGGUAAUACGAAGGCCCCAAGCGUUAUCCGGAAUCACUGGGCGUAAAGAGCUCAACGGUGGUAUGCUAAGUUCUCCGUCAAAUAUUCAGGCUUAACCUGAAUGCUGCGGGGAAAACUGGCACACUUGAGGGCAGGAGAGGCAGACGGAAUUGCCGGUGUAGUAGUAAAAUGCGUUAAUAUCGGCAAGAACACCAAAUGCGAAGGCAGUCUGCUAGAAUGACCCUGACACUACACGAGCGAAAGCGUGGGGAGCGAAUGGGAUUAGAAACCCCAGUAGUCC
RNAcentral lists this ribosomal RNA (428 nucleotides) under uncultured Parcubacteria group bacterium. Its description in RNAcentral is "bacterial SSU rRNA". It matches the Rfam family "Bacterial small subunit ribosomal RNA", at positions 354 to 796 of the family's 1533-position model. The record is from RNAcentral.